GGGAGCGGACGGGCGCCUGGUGGCCCCCGCGGACUUCAAAUCCGUUGCGCCGGGCGAACAACCCGGCGGGUGGGUUCGAUUCCCAUGCGCUCCCC
Molecule: transfer RNA, 95 nt
Filed under: Planctomycetota bacterium
Lineage: Bacteria; Pseudomonadati; Planctomycetota
Description: tRNA-Sec
Rfam family: Selenocysteine transfer RNA
Source: RNAcentral